Molecule: long non-coding RNA, 965 nt
Filed under: Cicer arietinum (chickpea)
Lineage: Eukaryota; Viridiplantae; Streptophyta; Magnoliopsida; Fabales; Fabaceae
Description: long non-coding RNA (CARI_LNC001427)
Source: RNAcentral
UUUCUUAUAUUAUACUCACUAAGUUCUUAUUACAUAUUAAAUUUUAUCUCAAAACUUAGCUCCUCUUGGAAGAACAUUAUCAAUAGGGUCUCUUCAUACAUCAAACCAAACUGGCUAGACCUCAAGGUCAUGGUUCAACUCCUUUAAACAGCUUGAAUUAGGACAAAAAUGCAAUGUAAGUGUAUUGCCUUACAUUAUUUAUGAUAAUAAUUUAAGUAAUUAUCAUUUAUAAAUUUAAUUUAUAUACAUAUAAGUGUAAAGAUCUUUCAUAUUGAUCAUCAAAUGUUAGCUCAACUGACAAUUACUGAUAUUGUUAGAUUAAAUAUCUUGUCUCGGAUUUGAAUCUAAGACCUCUCAGUUGUGUGAGUUAAUUAUGAUUGAAUUUACCAUCUCUUUUAAAACAAAACAAAACAAAAAAAGAUAUUUUAUAUUGUCAAUUAAUUAUAAUCAUAUUAAUAAAAAUUAUUGUUUUUAAUCAUAACUAUUUUUCAAAAAUUGCGUAGCCACGCAACUAUUCCAACUCUCUUUCUAUAUUAAUUAAGCAUAUACCAAGUCUUAUUUUCAUGAAAAUCAGGUGGCCUUAUCCAUUUCUUGAUUUGUCAUCUUCAUAUGCUCUACUAUGGUAUGGAUUUGAUUCCUUCCACAUUAAUAUCUUCUGCAUAAUUCAUUCCUAUGCUGACUAAAAAAAUGUUGCAUCAUUUCGAUUCUAGUUUUAAAGCUUUUAAGAGGCUUGUGAUGAAUUUUGUAGGUACCUUGCUGUGGCAUUAUUUCAAAUUCCAUGCUAUGGUAUUUUCAGUUUGGGAAUGAAGCUGAAACAUUAUGUGUUGUCAAGGCGCUACCAGUAUUGGUAUCAACGUGUUAAAAAUCGAUCUUUUUGAUUUUUCUCUCAGAUUUUUGAACUAAAAAAAGAAAAAUCGACGUAUUUUAAAUAAUGUGAGAUACAAUUUUGUGAUAUAAAAUUAUUU